This 249-nucleotide signal recognition particle RNA is filed under the name human gut metagenome. RNAcentral's name for it is "Bacterial large signal recognition particle RNA". It matches the Rfam family "Bacterial large signal recognition particle RNA". Rfam says of the family: The signal recognition particle (SRP) is a universally conserved ribonucleoprotein involved in the co-translational targeting of proteins to membranes. The record is from RNAcentral.
UACAAGCCGGGGAAUUAGCGGAGCCCUGUACCUGAAAUCCGCUACAGCAGGGGUGUAUUCCUCUUUUGAGGGCUUAGCUGAAGCGGUCUUGAGCCGUAUCCUGCUGCGUUGAGGAGUGGGUCUUGCGCAAUUGAGAGCUGUGAACCAUGUCAGGUGGGGAACCAAGCAGCAUUAAGCAGUUGCCCCAAUGUGCCGUGAGGUAGCCUGCUCGGAGCAGGAGGUACGGAGUUCGCGCGGAUGUGAGGUUCG